RNAcentral lists this ribosomal RNA (525 nucleotides) under Escherichia coli. RNAcentral's name for it is "partial 23S ribosomal RNA". It matches the Rfam family "Bacterial large subunit ribosomal RNA", at positions 186 to 752 of the family's 2925-position model. Lineage: Bacteria; Pseudomonadati; Pseudomonadota; Gammaproteobacteria; Enterobacterales; Enterobacteriaceae. The record is from RNAcentral.
GGGGGAACUGAAACAUCUAAGUACCCCGAGGAAAAGAAAUCAACCGAGAUUCCCCCAGUAGCGGCGAGCGAACGGGGAGGAGCCCAGAGCCUGAAUCAGUGUGUGUGUUAGUGGAAGCGUCUGGAAAGGCGCGCGAUACAGGGUGACAGCCCCGUACACAAAAAUGCACAUGCUGUGAGCUCGAUGAGUAGGGCGGGACACGUGGUAUCCUGUCUGAAUAUGGGGGGACCAUCCUCCAAGGCUAAAUACUCCUGACUGACCGAUAGUGAACCAGUACCGUGAGGGAAAGGCGAAAAGAACCCCGGCGAGGGGAGUGAAAAAGAACCUGAAACCGUGUACGUACAAGCAGUGGGAGCCUCUUUUAUGGGGUGACUGCGUACCUUUUGUAUAAUGGGUCAGCGACUUAUAUUCUGUAGCAAGGUUAACCGAAUAGGGGAGCCGAAGGGAAACCGAGUCUUAACUGGGCGUUAAGUUGCAGGGUAUAGACCCGAAACCCGGUGAUCUAGCCAUGGGCAGGUUGAAGGU